Miniopterus natalensis is the source of this 174-nucleotide non-coding RNA. The record is from RefSeq and is a predicted model, not a curated record. Lineage: Eukaryota; Metazoa; Chordata; Mammalia; Chiroptera; Miniopteridae.
GAAGGGGCGGCAGGCGCCAUGUCCGGCCGCGAAGGUGGCAAGAAGAAGCCCCUGAAGCAGCCCAAGAAGCAGGCUAAGGAGAUGGACGAGAUAAGGCAUUCAAGCAGAGGCAGAAAGAGGAGCAGAAGAAGCUUGAGGAGCUAAAAGCGAAGGCCGCGGGGAAGGGCCCCCUGG